GUCAGUAGACACAUUCCAGCCAAUCAGCAGCUGACCCUCCCUCCCAGACCCUCCCACAUCCUGGACAGCUCACUAAGAAUGCAGCUUCACAAUGAAUGUAAAAUGGAUGCUGUCCAGGAGGUGGGAGGGUCUGGGAGGGAGGGUCUGCUGCUGAUUGGCUGGAAUGUGUCUGCUG
Molecule: microRNA precursor, 175 nt
Filed under: Pelobates cultripes (western spadefoot toad)
Lineage: Eukaryota; Metazoa; Chordata; Amphibia; Anura; Pelobatidae
Source: RNAcentral